Molecule: long non-coding RNA, 991 nt
Filed under: Homo sapiens (human)
Lineage: Eukaryota; Metazoa; Chordata; Mammalia; Primates; Hominidae
Description: HSALNT0134298
Source: RNAcentral
CAACAGGUUGCUAAAAUAUUUUCAACUUUUUGUAUGUCAUUCAGCAUUUCCAUAUGUUCUUAAUGGGGAGGGGUGUUCUAUUUUGGGUCAGUCUGCUAUUGUGGCAAAGGACCCCAUAAUCUCUUAUGUAUGUCUGUUUUGGGAAGCUAAAAAUAGGACUUUGAGCCUAGAAUAGAACUCUGAUUAGAAUACCUUUCUCUCUAUGCUAGAAUGAUAACUACAAGUUCCAAAAGGAAGAAUAAAGAGAGAAAUGUUCUAUUGAAAACUUACCACAGUAUCAUCAGCAACAAUGAACAAUUCAACAUACUUUUCAUCAUGGAUGCCCUGUAAAGUUAGGGAAAAUUCAGUUGAAGUAUAGUUAACACUUUCUAUCUUAACCCUUUAAGUUGGAAAAAAAAUCCUAGUAUUUUCAAGGUAAGAAAUGUUGAUAUUGAUACAAAAUGGGGAGGCAUAUGAAUAUAUAAAAAUUGUACGAAUUUAUCUAAAUGAGAUCUAUACGAUUAAACAUGGGGUCCUAUACAUCGGAUUUUAGUAUUUUCUAUUUGUUCUUUUUUUUCUUUUCUUUUUUUUAAAUUUAAUUUUAUUUUUUAAUUUCCGAGGUACAUGUGCAGGAUAUGUGGGUUUGUUACAUGGGUGAGCAUGUGCCACGGUGGUUUGCUGCACCUAUCAACCCCAUCACCUAGGUAUUAAGCCUAGCAUGCAUUAGCUCUUUUUCCUAAUGCUUUGUUUAGGCUUUCAGGUCAAAUAAGAGUUGUAAAUAAUCAUAAACACAUACUUUAACAUUCAGGUUUUUUUUUUUUCAUUUACUGAGUAAGUGUUUCAUUAGUAAGCUCACGUGAAAAACAUCCAUCUGUAACUGAGAGUUAAAACAUAGUGUGGACCAACAGGACUGACUGCAUUUCUUGUACUCCUUCCCCUGCUUCCCAACUUUCUAAUUUUCAGUAGUCUCAAUUCCAAGCAAACAUGUACAAAUUUUGCUAAUCAUAGAUCU